This 506-nucleotide ribosomal RNA is filed under the name uncultured bacterium. RNAcentral describes it as "partial 16S ribosomal RNA". It matches the Rfam family "Bacterial small subunit ribosomal RNA", at positions 29 to 523 of the family's 1533-position model. The record is from RNAcentral.
AGUGAACGCUGGCGGUAGGCCUAACACAUGCAAGUCGAACGGCAGCACAGGAGAGCUUGCUCUCUGGGUGGCGAGUGGCGGACGGGGGAGGAAUACAUCGGAAUCUACUUUUUCGUGGGGGAUAACGUAGGGAAACUUACGCUAAUACCGCAUACGACCUACGGGUGAAAGCAGGGGAUCUUCGGACCUUGCGCGAUUGAAUGAGCCGAUGUCGGAUUAGCUAGUUGGCGGGGUAAAGGCCCACCAAGGCGACGAUCCGUAGCUGGUAUGAGAGGAUGAUCAGCCACACUAGAACUGAGACACGGUCCAGACUCCUACGGGAGGCAGCAGUGGGGAAUAUUGGACAAUGGGCGCAAGCCUGAUCCAGCCAUACCGCGUGGGUGAAGAAGGCCUUCGGGUUGUAAAGCCCUUUUGUUGGGAAAGAAAUCCAGCUGGUUAAUACCCGGUUGGGAUGACGGUACCCAAAGAAUAAGCACCGGCUAACUUCGUGCCAGCCGCCGCAGUAA